UGCCAGACUCCUACGGGAGGCAGCAGUGGGGAAUAUUGCACAAUGGGGGAAACCCUGAUGCAGCGACGCCGCGUGAAGGAAGAAGUAUUUCGGUAUGUAAACUUCUAUCAGCAGGGAAGAAAAUGACGGUACCUGACUAAGAAGCCCCGGCUAACUACGUGCCAGCAGCCGCGGUAAUACGUAGGGGGCAAGCGUUAUCCGGAUUUACUGGGUGUAAAGGGAGCGUAGACGGCAAUGCAAGCCAGAUGUGAAAGCCCGGGGCUCAACCCCGGGACUGCAUUUGGAACUGUGUAGCUGGAGUGUCGGAGAGGCAGGCGGAAUUCCUAGUGUAGCGGUGAAAUGCGUAGAUAUUAGGAGGAACACCGGCGGCGAAGGCGGCCUGCUGGACCGUAACUGACGUUGAGGCUCGAAAGCGUGGGGAGCAAACAGGAUUAGAUACCCGUGUAAC
RNAcentral lists this ribosomal RNA (448 nucleotides) under uncultured bacterium. Its description in RNAcentral is "partial 16S ribosomal RNA". It matches the Rfam family "Bacterial small subunit ribosomal RNA", at positions 329 to 794 of the family's 1533-position model. The record is from RNAcentral.